Sparus aurata (gilthead seabream) is the source of this 4746-nucleotide long non-coding RNA. The record is from Ensembl. Lineage: Eukaryota; Metazoa; Chordata; Actinopteri; Spariformes; Sparidae.
AUGGCCGUGCUCAGAGUGUCUUCUUACCGCAAGCUGUUCGAGGAGGAAAGCUGGAGUCGAAAUGGAGGGUUGAGUGCCUCCGUCAGGGGUGCGGCUGUUGACAAGUGCGACUGUGACAAGUUGGACUUUGUCGCUGCCAAGGAGCUCAACAAGGAGGGUCUGACCCGGUUUGUCCAGGACCGCACCGUCAUCGCUGCCCUCAACGACCGCCUGGUCCGGCUGAUUGAACUGGCUCAUUGUUUCGAGGAGCAGAACGAGUCUCUGGAAUGGCAGAUUGCUGAACUGGAGGAGAAGCUGAAGAGUCGUCAGGCCUCCACCUCCUCCUCCGGCAUCACCUCCGCCGUGGUGGUGCCUGACUACAGCCUGGAUGCGGUGGUGGAAAGACUGCGCAGGGAGAGGGAUGAGAUUCUGUGCGACACCGAGGAGCUGCAGAAGGAGCUCGAGCGUCUGAUGCGAGAGUACGAGGUGGCGGCGCAGCAGAGGAUCUUCUUACAGCAGGAGCGGCACGAUGUUGCAGAGGAAGUGGACGCCGUGACAGCAGGAUGUUUGGCGCUGAGGGAGCAAGUGGCUAUCUACGAGGAGCAGCUGGCCAACAUGGAGGCCCAGCACAAGACGGAGGUGGAGACUCUGCUGGAUCCAGCUGAAGGGGCUACAGGGGCGGUGGCAGCCAUUAGAUUUGGCAGCCCCGACAUCACUCCGGCCUUGGAUGUAAAGGAGUACUACUGCCAGCUGGCCGAGGGCCUCCAGUACGAUCUGGGUGCAGCGUCGUCUGCUGAGGUCCGCAGCGGUGAUGGAAAACAACUGGAAGUGGGCGGAGCUGCAGGGUCAACAGUCAAAGACCUGUCAGAGAUUAAGGACCCCCGUGAGAUGAAGGCGCUGAUUUCAGAGCUACAAAAGGAGCUCGCUGAGCUGGAGCAGUGUAACGAGGAGCUGGAGGACGAGGUCGACGUGAAGACGGCUGCGUACAUGGACGAGAUCGCCGAGCUGGAGUGUACCAUAGAUGAAAUGCGGCACCAGGACGCCGACUUCCAAGUGCAGAUGCAGGAGCAGGUUGAAGACUACAAGGAGCUGCUGAGUGAGAAGAUGGCCAGAGACAUGGAGAUCACCGCCUACAGGAGUCUGGUGGAGGAGGAGGAGGAGAGGCUGUGCAGCCUGUGAACUGAGGCCGGAGAGUCCGACUGGCUGGCUGAAAGUGUGUCUGGAUGCCCCCCUCCCACACACACACACAUAUGGAUUAGAAAACAGACAAAAGAGAAACAAGAAAAACACUUAAAUCUGCACCGGGAUGAAGCUUUAGGUAACCGACGCAGCAAUUCAAGCAGAUGUAAACUUAUCAUGACAGAUGAACGCCGUCUGGAGGCCUAAGCCGGGUCAUUGAUAACAGGCCGCUGGCAGAUGACCCCGAGACUCCAAGAAAGAUGGAGCUGUCUAAAAGUGGUGGGAGGACGGGAGUGUGUAUCCAUUCAGUGUCUGGCGGGGGAAAUUUCCUUAAGUGGGUUUUAUCUCCACUGGCGCGCUGAUACGAUUCAUAAAUGUUUUGCUCGCGCUUUGUCGAACCACCGACGCACGCUGUGCACCUCGUCCGUCACUCAAACCUCGUCUGAUUACCAGCUCUUAACCUUUGACCCCCUUCGCUGUCGGCAAACAUAUUGACAGCCCUCUCUUUGGUAACUAAAAGCAUCUCACCUUCCCUUUUGCUUUUACAGUCGUGCCUUCGCGUCGGCUCUGCGUACGACACUGAGCGUCGAGUAUGCAGCGCGGUGUUUGCUUUUCAAAUGGCUCAUGAAGUUUCCUGCAGCUCGAGCACCUGGAUCUCUCCACAAGAAAAAAAGGCCUCGGUGAUCCAUUAUUUUUUUUUUUUUUCUCCUUUUGAAAAGCAAUGUCGUUUCAGAAAUAAGCAUUCGGUAAUACAUUCUUCUGUAAUCUUUUCCUUAUUUCCUACGCGACUUCGGAGCUGCGUGUGAUAAAUCAUUUUUGGGUUCCUGCUUCUGCACGAGAAUGUUCUUCAGAUUGAAUUAAAUAAAACUAGUUGCUUGAGAGAUCGCCUCACGCUGUGUGAUGUCUUUUGUGAAAAUCUGUCUCAUGAGAACUGCUUGUGAAUCCUUCGGCUUAAGACUUUCUCCCCCCCCCCGCACUGUAAAACUAUGCGGAGUGAUUUAUGUUCUGUGAUCCUUCUUUCAUUCAUCUUCACGCUUAACAUGAGAUUUGAACAUUCCCAGCUAUUAACGAUCUCAAAGGCUUGUUAGGCUCUGCCAUAAAGAUGAAAAAUGCAGCUAAUAACGGAUCAGAUAAGAUUAGCCACACUCGGUGCACUCGCGGUGAUGAGGAGUUAGCCUCUGUAAUAAUUGAGCUCAGUGUCUGGAGAACGGGUGGCCGCGGCGACUUGUUUAAUUGUCCUGACGUGAAACAUGGCCGGCUCAGGACGAGGCCGCUGUGUCUGUUUUCCCAGAACCGCAGAGCUCAAUCAAGACGUUGCUUUCUUUCUAUAUCUCUCAGAGAAAAAAAAUCAGCAACAAACCACAAAAUAAGUUCCUGAUCUCAUGGGGCUGCUCUGUCUUUGCCUUGUGGUUAAAUUUCAAAAUAUCUAAGAAAAUCAUCUUCCUCUAAGAGUUCGGCUCCCCUGCUUUUAUCUUCUGCUGCCGUGCCUCUUGGGAAAAAGUCAGUUCACUGUAUGGAAAUCAAGGAAAUCCAUCAAAAAAAAAAAAAAAAAAGACCGGACAAGAAAAGUAAAGUUUAGACUUCCAGGAAAUUCAUCAUCCAUCCUGCUUUUGUAGACGUGUUUCUGCGCAGGAAGUGUGUUCUUCAGACAGCUGUGCGAGAGAAUUGAAGUUUAGUUUAAAAGAUUAGUUUGACAGCAACUAAUCCCUGUGACUAAGCAUUCAAAUAUCCAGCGAAGUAAACUCUAAUAAUACCCGGGAACAGGCGCAGGUUUAACAUUUGCAUUUUUAUUGCAUCCUACUUAUUUUGUACUAGUGCAGGUAAUAGUAGUCAGCAAAUGCCAAACAAUAAGAAAACAUGAUCGACAGCCUCGACAAUAAACAUCUAAACUCACAUAAAGGUCGCCUCAUUAUGGAUCCCACGUAGUCUUCACUCUACUUCUGAUUGGCUCUUAUAUUCUGACUUGUAAAUCUCUAUCAUCAUACCUAAAGCUAACGAACCCAAACAGCAAAGGCAACCAAUCAGAGGCAGAGUAAGGCUGUUCUUAGCUAUAAAGGCACCAGAAUAAUGCAGAAUGAAUAUAAAAAAGUGUAAAUAUACAAAAAUGACUUCAACUGAGCCACAUUAGAAAGCUCCGUGAGGACGUAGUCUGACACGUCUUGUGCUGAAUGCUAAUGUUAGCAUGUGUAGAAUGUGUGAUGUUUGUCAUGUAAACAAUCUUCCUUUAGCAUCUUAGCUAACAUGAAUUAGCGCUGAACACAAAGUAAAGCUAAUGUUGAUGGGACUGUCAUUACUUUUUCACAUAUUCAGUCAUCAGAAAAAUUGUGUUGUAUUGCGUGAUUUUACCUGCCAAAAAGGCAAAACUCUGCAUUCUUCUUUUAUUUACAUUUACAACAUUUCACCAAAACACACACGUUACAGAUCCAUGGUGGCUUCGGAUCAACAGACAGGGGAUCACCAAGUCGUCAGGAUUCAUCCUCUGGGGAGCACGAAAGUCUGUACAAACAGUCAGUCAGAUAGUUAAUGACGGUUUAAAGUAAGAACCAAAGUUGUUGACCAGUAAAUGCCACCCAUAGAACAAUGCUGCCAACACAGCAUUUUAGAAAAACACAAAUUCUUCUAACGACAACAAAAUAAAGGUCUAUAAUCUAUUAAAAGUUUACAACAGGAUAUAAGAAACUCUUCCAACAGUGGGAAAAUGUUCUCUGGGUAAAACAAAGCAAUGAGCUUUAUAUAAACUCUCUACAAAAACAAAAUAAGUGAUAAAACUAUGAGACAAAUCAACAAACUAUUCAAGAGACUUAAAUGUUAAUGAUGUGUUUGGAUUUGUUGCUUUGGUCGUUCCGGCCUCUGCAGCUUCUUUUAUAACCCAAUUAAGUGUUGCACAGCCCGGUGAUAUUUGUGAGUGUGGUGACCUCUGAACGCCUCUGUUUUCCUUUGCCCCCAUCACACGUCCUUGACAACUGAGAAAAAUGCGCGUUAACCCCUCAAAGCUGGCCGGUGACACUGAGUGGCCCGGGGCAGGACUGUGGCACUUCUUGCUCCUUGAAGCCGGACAAUUUGAUUUGAAGGCAGAGAAUUUCAAAGCUGAGUCAUGGAUCAGUGGUCAGCCAGUGGAUUGGCCUUUUCAUCCCCCUUUUUCUUUUUUUCUUUUCUUUUUCGCCUUGAUGGUUUCUGUGGACGGAGGAGGGGGUUGAGAAAGCAGCCAAAAACCGAAACCAACACCAACAAACAAAGAAAGUCGCUGCUGGGAAUGAAUGAGAGUGUGGCUGAAAGGAAAACCAUUUCGUCCAACAUAUGCUGUGGACAUAACAUCCAAUUAACUUCACGUGGUGCAGGAAUGUCUUUACAUUAAGAGUGGCAGGACCGGGGCUGAUAAAUUAUGACAUGUGAGCUCGUUGUGUCGUUCUACAUAUCUUCAAUCUGCAGCAGAGGAAUCUGAUUAAGGCCUGAGGUAAUGGUGGUCCAGGUCAGCUCGUACGACUCGGCUCAGCUGUCACCUACACAUAGGUAUCCCCAAAACUCCCUUCGGGUUCACCCGGACAAAUAAACACUGUCCUGAGUGAGGACAAGAGUCAUUUUUUUUAA